GGCAGCUGUGCAGAAAGCAGUGGCUUUGGGGUUAAGCAGACCUGAGAUCGAGUCCUAGCACCACCACUUUCUAGCUCUCUGAGCCUCACCUACCUCUUCUCUGAAAUGAUGACAAAAGGGCAGUUGUGAGGAUUCAAUUAGUUAAUUGUAGCGUUAAUGAGUCAUGUGUAUAAAGUGCCUGGUAGCUAUUUAUUCAUUCAUGGAUUCAUCCAUUCAAUAAAAAAUUAUUAAGCACCCACCACAUAGAGGGCAGCCUGACAGUGGCGUAGCUACAAUAGCAAGCAAAACAGACUCAGACCCUCAUGGAACUUAAAGUCUGGGAAGGAAGAAAGUUGUUAACCAAGUGAUCAGACAAAUCAAAAACAGAAACUGAGAUAAGGAAGCAGAAGAAAAAUAUUCCUGUACACGCACCCAGAGGCUUUUGCAGGAGGCGGCUGUUGGAGAACUGGGAAAACAAGCCAAGAAACAAGAGAGAGGAAAAAGACCACGCCUCGCCUGGCAGAUUCCUAAUGGCCCAGGAGACCUGAGGCUUUACAGUGGGAGGCCGGUGGGGGCUGGCUCGGGUGGGAGGGAAGGGCAGGCCGAAGGACAGCCACUUGCUGGCUGGUGACCUUGGGCGGGAUACUGCCUGCUUCCCUCUGGUGAGAAUGGGGAGGAGGGAGGCAGGGGCAGGCCUGGCCGGCUGAGGUCACAGGAAGGCCCCUUCCAGCCUGAAACGCGAUCUCGGGAUGUGGGGCCUGCCAACCUGCAGCGACCCUGGGCCAGCAGAGAUGAAAGGCUGCCUGUCCCCAGCUUCCGGACCCCCAAGGCCCCACUGCCUCAAAGUUGGAGAGCAGCAGAGCUGUGUUGCCACUGGCUGGGGCCAGCUGCUGGGCUCCCCACCCCACCUUAUGUCAUCCAACCCUCCCUUCCCUGUUUUGCAGAGGACACUCAGGCCCAGAGAGGGUGGUGACCUGCCUGAGGUCACACAGCAAGCGGGAGUCUGAGCCAAGGCUCACCACAGUCUUUGGACUCCAAGUCCAGGCCUCCUGCCUUUCCCAGAAACUUGGCUGCCUGGGGGCUUACCCUGGGGAGUUGGAGAGAACUAGGGCUGGGGAGGACACUUAGGAGCUGUGUCUGUUUGAAGUCACAACUUAAUGUUGACUAAAGUGCUUUUUUUUUAAAAGACAAAAAGAAAAUUCCCAGCCCCUGCCAUAAGCCUGGACUUGCUCACUGGCAGGGGAAGGAAUGCAGCUCUGGCCACCACAGCUGCUGGUGGCCAGCUGCAGCCUCAGCUUCUGCUGCUCCCGCCCCAGCCGGCAAAGGGACAAAGGCCUCUUCUCAGGCCUGUCCUCUCCAGCCCCCUGGAUCAGCUGGCAGAACAUUGACGGAGCCUCCUCUGUCACAGACCUGCUAAGUCAUUGUUCCUCUCUGGGCCUUAGUGCCGUUUCUGUAAAAUGGGGGCAUAGUAUCUGCCUGACCUACUUCUCAGCACUGUUUUGAGGCUCCAAGUAAAGUUCUGGAAAUACAAAGCUCUCAGCGCCUCCUUCCACCUGCGGGUCUGCCUUCUCACUGUGCCCUUUGCCUCGACCACCCCUCCCUCCCUCAUGCUUUCCCUGGCCAGCCCCAACUCACUCAGCUCAGCUCAGUGGGACCAUCACCUGCUCUAAAACCUGCCCU
Molecule: long non-coding RNA, 1659 nt
Filed under: Homo sapiens (human)
Lineage: Eukaryota; Metazoa; Chordata; Mammalia; Primates; Hominidae
Description: HSALNT0003750
Source: RNAcentral